Molecule: ribosomal RNA, 405 nt
Filed under: uncultured bacterium
Lineage: Bacteria
Description: bacterial SSU rRNA
Rfam family: Bacterial small subunit ribosomal RNA
Source: RNAcentral
UGGGGAAUAUUGGGCAAUGGAGGCAACUCUGACCCAGCAACGCCGCGUGAGUGAUGAAGGUCUUCGGAUUGUAAAACUCUUUAAGUGGGGACGAAGAAAGUGACUGUACCCACAGAAUAAGCCUCGGCUAACUACGUGCCAGCAGCCGCGGUAAUACGUAGGAGGCAAGCGUUAUCCGGAAUGACUGGGCGUAAAGGGUGCGUAGGUGGUCUGACAAGUUGGUAGCGUAAUCCCGGGGCUCAACUUCGGUGCUACUACCAAAACUGUUGGACUUGAGUGCAGGAGGGGCAUAUGGAAUUCCUAGUGUAGCGGUGGAAUGCGUAGAUAUUAGGAGGAACACCAGUGGCGAAGGCGAUAUGCUGGACUGUAACUGACACUGAGGCACGAAAGCGUGGGGAGCAAACA